RNAcentral lists this ribosomal RNA (254 nucleotides) under uncultured bacterium. RNAcentral describes it as "partial 16S ribosomal RNA". It matches the Rfam family "Bacterial small subunit ribosomal RNA", at positions 524 to 777 of the family's 1533-position model. The record is from RNAcentral.
UACGAAGGGGGCUAGCGUUGUUCGGAAUUACUGGGCGUAAAGGGCUCGUAGGCGGCCAACUAAGUCAGACGUGAAAUCCCUCGGCUUAACCGGGGAACUGCGUCUGAUACUGGAUGGCUUGAGGUUGGGAGAGGGAUGCGGAAUUCCAGGUGUAGCGGUGAAAUGCGUAGAUAUCUGGAGGAACACCGGUGGCGAAGGCGGCAUCCUGGACCAAUUCUGACGCUGAGGAGCGAAAGCUAGGGGAGCAAACGGGG